Molecule: ribosomal RNA, 492 nt
Filed under: uncultured bacterium
Lineage: Bacteria
Description: partial 16S ribosomal RNA
Rfam family: Bacterial small subunit ribosomal RNA
Source: RNAcentral
AGUGAACGCUGGCGGUAGGCCUAACACAUGCAAGUCGAACGGCAGCACAGUAAGCGCUUGCUCUUACGGGUGGCGAGUGGCGGACGGGUGAGGAAUACAUCGGAAUCUACUUUUUCGUGGGGGAUAACGUAGGGAAACUUACGCUAAUACCGCAUACGACCUACGGGUGAAAGCAGGGGAUCUUCGGACCUUGCGCGAUGUAAUGAGACGAUGUCGGAUUAGCUAGUUGGCGGGGUAAAGGCCCACCAAGGCGACGAUCCGUAGCUGGUCUGAGAGGAUGAUCAGCCACACUGGAACUGAGACACGGUCCAGACUCCUACGGGAGGCAGCAGUGGGGAAUAUUGGACAAUGGGCGCAAGCCUGAUCCAGCCAUACCGCGUGGGUGAAGAAGGCCUUCGGGUUGUAAAGCCCUUUUGUUGGGAAAGAAAAGCAGCAGGUUAAUACCCCGCUGUUCUGACGGUACCCAAAGAAUAAGCACCGGCUAACUUCGUG